RNAcentral lists this ribosomal RNA (117 nucleotides) under Negativicutes bacterium. Lineage: Bacteria; Bacillati; Bacillota; Negativicutes. The record is from RNAcentral.
UCCGGUAGCGAUAGCUGUGAGGUUCCACCUGUUCCCAUCCCGAACACAGCAGUUAAGCUCACAUACGCCGAAAGUACUUGGCUGGAGACGGCCCGGGAGGAUAGGGAGUUGCCGGUU